RNAcentral lists this unclassified non-coding RNA (1075 nucleotides) under Hevea brasiliensis (rubber tree). Lineage: Eukaryota; Viridiplantae; Streptophyta; Magnoliopsida; Malpighiales; Euphorbiaceae. The record is from RNAcentral.
AAAUAUGUGACAGUCGCAAAGCUUCAGAGCAAGCUAGAUGGAGAGGCCAAUCCGACGAUUGUCCGCAAACUAAUUGAGAAAAUGACUCGAGAUGGUUACCUUGAGGCUAAAAGCAGCCGUAGGCUGGGCAAGCGCGUUAUUCAUUCAAGUCAAACUGAGAAAAAGCUUAUGGAAGUAAAGAAAGCCUUGGACAACGAUGUUAUGGAUGUUGAUAACAAUCAACAAAUUAUCAAGUCCAACCAUUUAGAAUUCCAGAAAAUAGGGAGUGACUAUAGGGAUAACUCAACAUGUGGUGUCCUCCAUUCGAUAGGAUCAGAUCUUACACGCAUGAGGGUUAUAUCCGACAUUAAUCAUAAUGGAUCAAUCAAGAGUGAGCAGACUAUCUCAAGGACAAAGGACCUUAGCAACACUCCCACAAGCAGAGCUGAGAAUGCACAGCCAGUAGCUUCAAGAGAGAGUUUCGCUCCAGGAAAUGAGAAUGGAAGAGCAAAUCGAACCACAAAUUACUGUGAUGAGGCAGACACAGUCAUCUGCAGCAGAUCGACUCAAGACAAAAGGACCCGGAAAACAAGCACGGUAAGCCCUCAAAUUUCUCACCAGCGAAUGAAGCAAUAUAUAGUUCAUCUUCAUCACCUUCAUUCAUAUCACAGAGCUGGAAAAUAUUACAUAGGCUUUGUCUUUAAUCCACUUGGGUGAGAGCUUUUCUUACCUUGGCAGGUUAAGGAGCCAAUUAUUCAAUUCAUGAAGCGCCAGAGAUCUCAAGCCGUUUGAGAGGCUUCUGGAGCUCAAAGUCAUUGAAUUUCUACAAUAGGAAUAGAAAGUAGUUUUUUCAUGAGGUCUUUCAGGAAGUAAACAUAGCAAUUUACAGUUUACAUGUCUCCAGAACUGCUAAUGUGAUAAUGGUAUAAUACUACAUGCAUAGAAAAGGAAAUUUGAUAUCAUUCUCCUUCUUAGAUCCAUUAAUGGAUUAUAUACGCAAUUUUGCCACCUCUAGUACUGCCUUGUUUUUGCUAUGUAGAUUUUCUUUUUGUUUUGUAUGGUAUCACGGGUCAAUUUCUUUGAUCUCUAAUCUUCA